AUACUAGACUAGAUCUUCACUUUUAUCUCUCUCUAUAAGCUCUGAACUCUGGAGUAACCAACCAGCAAUCCAUCCAUGGCGUUCUCGGCGAAGUUGGAUACCGCUUUUCUAUUAUCGGCUAACCUUUCAUCGUCUUCCAGAGAACCUACUCUUCCGAUCAGAUCCUUUUCUCUCUUCACUCAUGCACCUCCUUUUCCCAAUCUAUCAUCCAGGAACUUCACUCGCAAUGCCACUUCGCCAACCGUCAAAGCAUCUUCGUCUCCUUCGACUCCUUCAUCUUCAUCGUCUUCCACCACAGUAGCAGAGUCUCAGGGCAUCAAGGUCGUUUCAGUUCCAACGAAACCGAUUGACGGCCAAAAAACUGGAACUAGCGGCCUUAGAAAGAAGGUGAAAGUGUUUAUCCAAGAAAAUUAUCUCGGAAACUGGAUUCAGGCGCUAUUCAAUUCGUUACCACCUGAGGAUUACAAGAAUGGGCUGUUAGUAUUAGGAGGGGACGGUAGAUAUUUUAACAAAGAAGCUGCUCAAACAAUAAUCAAGAUUUCAGCUGGGAAUGGUGUUGGCAAAGUAUUGGUUGGGAAGGAUGGUAUAUUGUCGACACCAGCUGUUUCUGCUGUAAUAAGAAAGAGAAAGGCUAAUGGUGGAUUUAUAAUGAGUGCCAGCCAUAAUCCGGGUGGCCCAGAAUAUGAUUGGGGUAUCAAGUUCAAUUACAGCAGUGGACAACCAGCUCCUGAAUCGAUUACUGACAAGAUAUAUGGGAACACACUUUCUAUAUCUGAAAUUAGGAUGGCAGAUAUCCCAGAUGUUGAUCUCUCUCGCCUUGGAGUUACCAAGUUUGGGAACUUCACAGUUGAAGUCGUUGACCCAGUUUCUGACUAUCUAGAGCUAAUGGAGGAUGUAUUCGAUUUCUCACUUAUCAAAAAUCUUCUUUCAAGAUCAGAUUUUGGAUUUGCAUUUGAUGCCAUGCAUGCAGUUACUGGUGCUUAUGCAAAACCUAUCUUUGUGGACAAGCUAGGAGCUCGCCCGGAUUCAAUUACAAAUGGAGUGCCUCUUGAAGAUUUUGGGCAUGGUCAUCCAGAUCCGAAUCUUACAUAUGCUGAAGAAUUGGUCAACAUCAUGUAUGACAAAAAUGGACCUGAUUUUGGUGCUGCAAGUGAUGGUGACGGUGAUAGAAACAUGGUCCUUGGUCGAGAAUUUUUUGUAACCCCAUCAGAUUCCGUUGCAAUUAUUGCAGCUAAUGCUCAAGACGCCAUUCCAUACUUUCGAGCUGGCCCAAAGGGUUUAGCUCGUUCAAUGCCAACAAGUGGUGCUCUAGAUUGCGUUGCCCAGAAGCUAAAUCUUCCUUUCUUUGAGGUUCCAACGGGAUGGAAGUUCUUUGGGAAUCUAAUGGACUCUGGAAAACUAUCAAUAUGUGGGGAAGAGAGUUUUGGAACUGGUUCAGAUCACAUUCGUGAGAAAGAUGGCAUAUGGGCUGUUUUGGCUUGGCUUUCAAUACUCGCACACCGAAAUAAGGAUACGAAACCAGGCGAGAAACUUGUAUCUGUUUCUGAUGUGGUCAAGGAGCACUGGGCUACUUAUGGGAGAAAUUUCUUUUCUAGAUAUGACUAUGAAGAAUGCGAAUCUGAAGGAGCCAACAAAAUGGUAGAGUAUCUCAGGGAUUUGGCCUCAAAAAGCAAGUCUGGUGACAAGUAUGGAAGCUACGCCCUUCAAUUUGCUGAUGACUUUGAAUAUACUGACCCAGUGGAUGGAAGUGUGGCUUCAAAGCAGGGUGUCCGAUUUGUUUUCAGUGAUGGAUCAAGAAUCAUAUUUCGUUUGUCAGGAACUGGUUCAGCUGGUGCAACUGUUAGAAUCUAUAUUGAACAAUUUGAGCCAGAUGCUUCUAAGCAUGAUAUAGAUGCCCAAAUUGCAUUAAAACCAUUGAUAGAUUUGGCGCUGUCUGUGUCUAAGCUGAAAGAAUUUACUGGAAGGGAGAAGCCAACCGUCAUCACAUAGACCAGAUUAACAUAUGCUAUCUUAUCCUCUUGCCUGAGUCACUUCAGCUGAAUAAUGCAUUGUAGGUGAUGAUCAUCAUCAUGGAUGGAAGAAGAGAUCCACUGGAAGCAGUUUCACCCUACUUCAUCCCAUCUGACCCGAUACUGUUGUCUCUUCGUCUCAGUUUGAGCUUGAUUGAACGUAUACUCAACUUUCAUUAAACCAGAUCUUGUUGUUUUUCUAUCGAAUUUUCUACUGUGUUUUACAUCAAUCAUUUAUAGACAUUUCUAGUGGAUUUAAAACUCCAUCAAAAUGCAUAUUUUCAAGUGGAGCCAUUUGAUUGUCUUUU
This is an RNA transcript of Impatiens glandulifera, 2317 nucleotides long. It is a transcript of the gene named phosphoglucomutase, chloroplastic, with no coding region annotated. The transcript is spliced from 24 exons. The record is from RefSeq and is a predicted model, not a curated record. Lineage: Eukaryota; Viridiplantae; Streptophyta; Magnoliopsida; Ericales; Balsaminaceae.